This 608-nucleotide long non-coding RNA is filed under the name Rattus norvegicus (Norway rat). Its description in RNAcentral is "long non-coding RNA NONRATT017512". Lineage: Eukaryota; Metazoa; Chordata; Mammalia; Rodentia; Muridae. The record is from RNAcentral.
GCAACAUCUAAACCCUUGAAAGGAUCCUGAGAGAGGGGGGAAAGGGAAAACAGCAGCCACCAGCCCAACCACUUGUGUCUUCUGCCCCUCCCCACCUAUCUUGCCCACCCCACCAGCCCACGCUGCUUGGGACUUGAAAUCUGUGGCCGAAGGACCGUCACCACAUAACUUCAAAAAUAAUCAACCACCCUCCCUACCCAAACCCACCCAAUCUCACUCAUCCAGCAUUUCCUUUUUGGAGUCCACUCAGAAUUUUUUUCAACGACCCCCUCUCCCUAAUGGAGUUGGGUGGGGGGAAAAUGAAAACUGAGUUGGUCUUUACUUUUUUAAGAGACUUUUUGAUCCAAUGAGGCCCCACAAGUAACUGAGUUUGGGUCCUGGUUGGUUGUUUUAUUUUUUUUCCUCCAAAAUUUUACCCCUCCCCCCUGAGCCCGAGGUGCUGACGUCGCAAAAAAAUUGGAUAGUAAGUGUCGAAUUUUCAAAAACCAGCCUUGAACAAGAAAUCAACGUUUCCCGUUGUGAAACCAAAAAUAAUGAGAGGAAGAAAUGAGACCAUAGAACAAACGUAGAGUACUGGAGAAGGACCAAUCGGGUCUCUUAAAUCUCCA